This 71-nucleotide transfer RNA is filed under the name Bos taurus (domestic cattle). It matches the Rfam family "tRNA". Rfam says of the family: Transfer RNA (tRNA) molecules are approximately 80 nucleotides in length. Their secondary structure includes four short double-helical elements and three loops (D, anti-codon, and T loops). RNAcentral also lists the same sequence under 5 other names. The record is from Rfam by way of RNAcentral. Lineage: Eukaryota; Metazoa; Chordata; Mammalia; Artiodactyla; Bovidae.
UCCCUGAUAGCUCAGUUGGUAAGAAUCUGCCUGCAAUGCAGGAGACCUGGGUUCAAUUCCUGGGUGGGGAA